GACGAACGCUGGCGGCGUGCCUAAUACAUGCAAGUAGAACGCUGAAGGAGGAGCUUGCUUCUCUGGAUGAGUUGCGAACGGGUGAGUAACGCGUAGGUAACCUGCCUGGUAGCGGGGGAUAACUAUUGGAAACGAUAGCUAGUACCGCAUAAGAGUAGAUGUCGCAUGACAUUUGCUUAAAAGGUGCAAUUGCAUCACUACCAGAUGGACCUGCGUUGUAUUAGCUAGUUGGUGAGGUAACGGCUCACCAAGGCAACGAUACAUAGCCGACCUGAGAGGGUGAUCGGCCACACUGGGACUGAGACACGGCCCAGACUCCUACGGGAGGCAGCAGUAGGGAAUCUUCGGCAAUGGACGGAAGUCUGACCGAGCAACGCCGCGUGAGUGAAGAAGGUUUUCGGAUCGUAAAGCUCUGUUGUAAGAGAAGAACGAGUGUGAGAGUGGAAAGUUCACACUGUGACGGUAUCUUACCAGAAGGGGACGGCUAACUACGU
RNAcentral lists this ribosomal RNA (494 nucleotides) under uncultured bacterium. Its description in RNAcentral is "partial 16S ribosomal RNA". It matches the Rfam family "Bacterial small subunit ribosomal RNA", at positions 28 to 506 of the family's 1533-position model. The record is from RNAcentral.